This 69-nucleotide transfer RNA is filed under the name Cryptopone sauteri. RNAcentral describes it as "tRNA-Gly". Lineage: Eukaryota; Metazoa; Arthropoda; Insecta; Hymenoptera; Formicidae. The record is from RNAcentral.
UAUCUUUAUAGUAUAAUUUAUUACAAUUAACUUCCAAUUAAUAAAUUUAACUAAAAUUAAUUUAGAUAU